This 1161-nucleotide ribosomal RNA is filed under the name uncultured organism. RNAcentral describes it as "bacterial SSU rRNA". It matches the Rfam family "Bacterial small subunit ribosomal RNA", at positions 169 to 1365 of the family's 1533-position model. The record is from RNAcentral.
CCCAAUGUGCUCGGUGAUUCGGUUCAUCGAGUAAAGCUCCGGCGCUUCGGGAGAGGCCUGCGGCCCAUCAGCUAGUUGGUAGGGUAACGGCCUACCAAGGCAGAGACGGGUAGGGGGCGUGAGAGCGCGGACCCCCACACUGGCACUGAGAUACGGGCCAGACUCCUACGGGAGGCAGCAGUAAGGGAUAUUGCGCAAUGGACGAAAGUCAGACGCAGCGACGCCGCGUGGGCGAUGAAGGCCUUCGGGUUGUAAAGCCCUUUUAUGGGGGAAGAGAAAAAGGACGGUACCCCAGGAAUAAGUCCCGGCUAACUACGUGCCAGCAGCCGCGGUAAAACGUAGGGGACAAGCGUUAUCCGGAUUCACUGGGCGUAAAGAGCGUUGAGGCGGUUCCGUAAGUUGGGCGUGAAAGCUCCGGGCUUAACUCGGAGAUGUCGUUCAAUACUGCGGGGCUUGAGGACAGCAGAGGAAGGUGGAAUUCCCGGUGUAGUGGUGAAAUGCGUAGAUAUCGGGAGGAACACCCGUGGCGAAGGCGGCCUUCUGGGCUGUUCCUGACGCUGAAGGCGAAAGCUAGGGGAGCGAACGGGAUUAGAUACCCCGGUAGUCCUAGCUGUAAACGAUGGAUGCUGGGUGUGGGGGGUGUAAAUUCCCUCUGUGCCGAAGCAAACGCGUUAAGCAUCCCGCCUGGGGACUACGGCCGCAAGGCUAAAACUCAAACGAAUUGACGGGGGCCCGCACAAGCAGCGGAGCGUGUGGUUUAAUUCGAUGCUACACGAAGAACCUUACCUGGGUUUGACAUGCACGUGGUAGGGAACCGAAAGGGGACCGACCUUCGGGAGCGUGCACAGGUGCUGCAUGGCUGUCGUCAGCUCGUGCCGUGAGGUGUCGGGUUAAGUCCCGUAACGAGCGCAACCCUUGCCCUUAGUUACAAGUGUCUAAGGGGACUGCCCGGGACAACUGGGAGGAAGGUGGGGAUGACGUCAAGUCAGCAUGGCCUUUAUAUCCAGGGCUACACACACGCUACAAUGGCCGGUACAAUAGGUUGCGAAGUCGUGAGGCGGAGCCAAUCCUCAAAGCCGGUCUCAGUUCGAAUUGCAGUCUGCAACUCGACUGCAUGAAGCUGGAGUUGCUAGUAAUCGCAGGUCAGCUAUACUGCGGUGA